UUUAGUAUCUUACAACUAUUGUUAGUCAUAUUGACGUUCAGUAUGUUGUUUAACAAGUUCGUAAACUUUUAUGUUAUUUUGAAAGAGGAAUUCAAGCGCCUACGAGGGAAAACUGUGCUUUGCAUACAAAAACAAACAGCUUUGGACAAGCAUAUAGGCUUGGAUCCGGUUAACUGGUUAAGUAAGAUUUCCAGAUUCUUAAGCUGAAAAAUCUAGAUUCAAUGAAGCAAUUCAGUUGCCUCGAAAAAUGAAGGGUCAGAACGUUUGUGGUGUUUAUGAAUCUCUCCGUUUGGAUGAAAACCGAGUAAAAUACUAAAGAUUUUAGAGAUAAGAUGUUAGCUGUUAGAGAAGCUUUUUGGACACGAGACGACCACUUGAUAUUCCCUCGGCACUUCCUUUUAAGGUAAUUUAAUCUCUUACAACACUUGGCAUUAUUCUGCAGUUGUUGGUUCAUAAUACUGCA
This 463-nucleotide small RNA is filed under the name Arabidopsis thaliana (thale cress). RNAcentral describes it as "putative long intergenic non-coding RNA". The record is from RNAcentral. Lineage: Eukaryota; Viridiplantae; Streptophyta; Magnoliopsida; Brassicales; Brassicaceae.